RNAcentral lists this long non-coding RNA (473 nucleotides) under Homo sapiens (human). RNAcentral describes it as "HSALNT0246022". The record is from RNAcentral. Lineage: Eukaryota; Metazoa; Chordata; Mammalia; Primates; Hominidae.
CGCACCUGGAAACUGCAUCCCCUGGACUGGCUGGGUUUGAAAAUAUGUAGUUAUUUGUCAAACCACCAAUGUUUAUUUUCAUUCAGUUAUUAAGAAAUAAAAAGGGGUAGAUAAUUUUCACUCCCUGCCUGUGCCUGUCCGGCAGGACUCGGCAGCAGGUCGAUCCGGCGCAGACUCAUCUGAGUGCGACGUAGCGGCAGCCAGUCACAUCGUGUCCUCCGGAGGCCGCCUGCUGCUGCGCGGAGCCAGCGUCCAGGACCUGGGGCCGGGGGACCAGAGCUGGGACAGGCCCAGCCCCUGGGCGGCAUAGCUAUGUGGCCCCGGGAACACUGGCUCUCCAAGGCACAAGGCGUUUUCACCGGCUGCGUCCCAUUCAGUCUUCCCAGCAUGAUCCCAGCUCGGAGAAGCUGAGGCAAUAAAAGUGAAUUGAUUCAGAGAGAACGAGGAUGAGAUUUGCGUUGGGCAAGGAGCAG